GACGAACGCUGGCGGCGUGCUUAACACAUGCAAGUCGAGCGGAAAGGCCACUUCGGUGGUACUCGAGCGGCGAACGGGUGAGUAACACGUGAGUAAUCUGCCCCUGGCUUUGGGAUAGCCACCGGAAACGGUGAUUAAUACCGGAUACGACCACUUCUCGCAUGGGAUGGUGGUGGAAAGUUUUUUCGGCCAGGGAUGUGCUCGCGGCCUAUCAGCUUGAUGGUGAGGUAAUGGCUCACCAUGGCUUCGACGGGUAGCCGGCCUGAGAGGGUGACCGGUCACACUGGGCCUGCGGCACGGCCCAGACUCCUACGGGAGGCAGCAGUGGGGAAUAUGGGACAAUGGGCGGAAGCCUGAUCCAGCAACGCCGCGUGAGGGAUGACGGCCUUCGGGUUGUAAACCUCUUUCAGCAGGGACGACGCGCAAGUGACGGUACCUGCAGAAGAAGCACCGGCCAACUACGUGCCAGCCGCCGCAGUAA
Molecule: ribosomal RNA, 481 nt
Filed under: uncultured bacterium
Lineage: Bacteria
Description: partial 16S ribosomal RNA
Rfam family: Bacterial small subunit ribosomal RNA
Source: RNAcentral